UUUUCGUACCACGGCGAGGCCGGAUUCCUGUUUUAUCAUGAAUAUUCAUUAGGCAGGGUCGGGGAAAGUCUCGAUUCUCUUAAAUAUUCAUAUCGAGGUGGGAAUGCACGACGCGCGCUAUACUCGCACAAAGUGAGAAGAUUUAGUUCACGGAGAAUGCAUAUGGAUUGAAACUGAAGAGCUGGAAGGAGGAUAUUACAACAUCUCUUAUAUUUGCAAGAUGAAGCAGAAAGUCCCAUGCAGGAUGAUGCCUCUCUACAGUGGAUGAUGAAGGCAUUCUGGUUUGCAAACUCAGGAGAGGAACAAAGAACAGAUGUUGACGGGAUCAUAUCUAGAGAUGCGGGCCUACUACACUUCAUACGAGCAAGUGUGCUAAUAUACAUGAAGGUACCCCCAAUAAAUUUUUGUGGAACAAAUGUCAUGGAGAAAAUUAUAGAUCUGAAACAGAUAUUUUUCAUUGUCAGUUGACUUGUAAAAGAAUAAUUGACUUAAUAUCACAAUUGUAAUUUAGAUUAAAAAUUAAAUGUCAAUAUAGAUG
RNAcentral lists this long non-coding RNA (538 nucleotides) under Strongylocentrotus purpuratus (purple sea urchin). RNAcentral describes it as "uncharacterized LOC105439345, transcript variant X2". Lineage: Eukaryota; Metazoa; Echinodermata; Echinoidea; Camarodonta; Strongylocentrotidae. The record is from RNAcentral.